This 671-nucleotide ribosomal RNA is filed under the name uncultured organism. RNAcentral describes it as "bacterial SSU rRNA". It matches the Rfam family "Bacterial small subunit ribosomal RNA", at positions 10 to 732 of the family's 1533-position model. The record is from RNAcentral.
AGUUGAUCCUGGCUCANGAAGAACGCUGGCGGCAUGCUUAACACAUGCAAGUCGAACGACACAGUGGCGGACGGGUGAGUAACGCGUGGGAACGUGCCCUCCAUCUACCGAAUAGCUCCGGGAAACUGGUGGUAAUACCGUAUACGCCCUUCGGGGGAAAGAUUUAUCGGUAGAAGGAUCGGCCCGAGUAAGAUUAGCUAUGCUGGUGGGGUAAUGUGCCUGACCAAGGCUGACGAUCUAUAGCUGGUCUGAGAGGAUGAUCAGGCACACUGGGACUGAUACGCGGGCCAGACUCCUACGGGACGCAGCGGUGGGGAAUCUUGCGCAAUGGGCGAAAGCCUGAUGCAGCCAUGCCGCGUGAAUCAUGAAAGCCAUAAGGUCGCAAGAUUCUUUCACCUCGGACGAUAAUGACGGUACCUUGACAAGAACCCCCGGCUAACUUCCUGCCAGCAGCCGCGGUAAUACCAAGGGGGCUAGCGUUGAUCGGACUUACUGCGCAUAAAUCGCGCGUAGGCCGGUCAUUAGUUCCGGUGUGAAAUCCCGGUGCUCAACCUCGGAACUGCACUUGAAACUGGUAACCUAGAGUCCGGGAGAGGUCCCUGGAGUACCGAGUGUAUAGGUGAAGUUCGUAGAUAUUCGGUGGAACUCCAGUGGCGCAUGCGACUGACUGG